This 809-nucleotide ribosomal RNA is filed under the name uncultured bacterium. RNAcentral's name for it is "bacterial SSU rRNA". It matches the Rfam family "Bacterial small subunit ribosomal RNA", at positions 1 to 777 of the family's 1533-position model. The record is from RNAcentral.
UCGGCUUAGAGUUUGAUCAUGGCUCAGGAUGAACGCUGGCGGCGUGCCUAAUACAUGCAAGUCGAACGAAACUUCUUUAUCACCGAGUGCUUGCACUCACCGAUAAAGAGUUGAGUGGCGAACGGGUGAGUAACACGUGGGCAACCUGCCCAAAAGAGGGGGAUAACACUUGGAAACAGGUGCUAAUACCGCAUAACCAUAGUUACCGCAUGGUAACUAUGUAAAAGGUGGCUAUGCUACCGCUUUUGGAUGGGCCCGCGGCGCAUUAGCUAGUUGGUGAGGUAAAGGCUUACCAAGGCAAUGAUGCGUAGCCGAACUGAGAGGUUGAUCGGCCACAUUGGGACUGAGACACGGCCCAAACUCCUACGGGAGGCAGCAGUAGGGAAUCUUCCACAAUGGGCGAAAGCCUGAUGGAGCAACGCCGCGUGGGUGAAGAAGGUCUUCGGAUCGUGAAACCCUGUUGUUAGAGAAGAAAGUGCGUGAGAGUAACUGUUCACGUUUCGACGGUAUCUAACCAGAAAGCCACGGCUAACUACGUGCCAGCAGCCGCGGUAAUACGUAGGUGGCAAGCGUUAUCCGGAUUUAUUGGGCGUAAAGGGAACGCAGGCGGUCUUUUAAGUCUGAUGUGAAAGCCUUCGGCUUAACCGGAGUAGUGCAUUGGAAACUGGGAGACUUGAGUGCAGAAGAGGAGAGUGGAACUCCAUGUGUAGCGGUGAAAUGCGUAGAUAUAUGGAAGAACACCAGUGGCGAAAGCGGCUCUCUGGUCUGUAACUGACGCUGAGGAGCGAAAGCGUGGGGAGCAAACAGGA